This 397-nucleotide long non-coding RNA is filed under the name Malus domestica (apple). RNAcentral describes it as "long non-coding RNA (MDOM_LNC012369)". Lineage: Eukaryota; Viridiplantae; Streptophyta; Magnoliopsida; Rosales; Rosaceae. The record is from RNAcentral.
CAAUUUUUUUUUUUAAUCCAACUCUCACUUUCCAAAAACUUAGGAGUGUAUGAAUUAAUCAAUUUAAGGUCACACGUACCUUAUCAACCGUCAAGGGCAGUUUUGUCAUUUCAUAUCAACGAAUAUGAAAUUCUGGAAUGGGCUAUGACAAUAUUCCUUCCUUAUAGAAUUUCGUCCUUGAAAUUCAUACAACCAAUCAAUCCACUUAAUACUCAUAAAACAACUUUGGAUACAUCUCUCUCAUUCGAUCUUCCGUCUCCCAAGUAGCUUCUUCCACUGAGUGGUUCCUCCACAGUACUUUUACCAAGCUCAUUGUCUUAUUCCUUAGAACCUUGUCUUUCCAAUCCAAGAUAGUCACUGGUUCCUCAUCAUACGUCAAAUUCGGAUUAAUCUCCAA